Gadus morhua (Atlantic cod) is the source of this 119-nucleotide ribosomal RNA. Lineage: Eukaryota; Metazoa; Chordata; Actinopteri; Gadiformes; Gadidae. The record is from Ensembl.
CUUUGAGGCCUUACCACCAUGGACACGCCCCAACUGGUCUGAUCAUGGAAGCUAAGCAUGGUAGGGCCUGGUUAGUACUUGGAUGGGAGACCGCCUGGGAAUACCAGGUGCUGUACGUU